RNAcentral lists this ribosomal RNA (484 nucleotides) under uncultured bacterium. RNAcentral describes it as "partial 16S ribosomal RNA". It matches the Rfam family "Bacterial small subunit ribosomal RNA", at positions 30 to 507 of the family's 1533-position model. The record is from RNAcentral.
AUUGAACGCUGGCGGCAGGCCUAACACAUGCAAGUCGAGCGGAUGAAGGGAGCUUGCUCCUGGAUUCAGCGGCGGACGGGUGAGUAAUGCCUAGGAAUCUGCCUGGUAGUGGGGGAUAACGUCCGGAAACGGGCGCUAAUACCGCAUACGUCCUGAGGGAGAAAGUGGGGGAUCUUCGGACCUCACGCUAACAGAUGAGCCUAGGUCGGAUUAGCUAGUUGGUGGGGUAAAGGCCUACCAAGGCGACGAUCCGUAACUGGUCUGAGAGGAUGAUCAGUCACACUGUAACUGAGACACGGUCCAGACUCCUACGGGAGGAAGCAGUGGGGAAUAUUGGACAAUGGGCGAAAGCCGGAUCCAGCCAUGCCGCGUGUGUGAAGAAGGUCUUCGGAUUGUAAAGCACUUUAAGUUGGGAGGAAGGGCAGUAAGUUAAUACCUUGCUGUUUUGACGUUACCAACAGAAUAAGCACCGGCUAACUUCGUG